AGAGCCCAGCACCGAAUCCNUUCACCAUCUCGGUGACAGGAAAUGUGGUGUUUAGGCCGUACCUUGUCCCGACACGUCUCUCCUCAAGUCCACUUGAUUGUGGCCCCAGGCCCAGAGAGGGUGUAAGGCCCGUGGAGGCGAGACGUUCGGUACCUGGUGCGUCCUUAGAGUCGGGUUGUUUGGGAAUGCAGCCCUAAGCGGGUGGUAAACUCCAUCCAAGGCUAAAUACCAGCACGAGUCCGAUAGCGAAGAAGUACCGCGAGGGAAGGUUGAAAAGAACUUUGAAGAGAGAGUUCAAGAGUACGUGAAACCGCUGAGAGGCAAACUGGUGGAACUGAAAUGGUCCCGAGGAAUUCAGCCGUUGGUCGUUGCACAGUCUUUGGUGAUUGAUCUAACGACGGCGCCAUUGAAUGACGUUUCGAUCAUCGGUGCACUUUCCUCGCCUGGGCCCGACCACGACCGGUGAGCUGAUCUGUCUGUCGUGCUUGGAAGAUAGCGCCGUCUUCGGAAGGCGUGUUAUAGACAGGCAUACGGAGCAGUCGGCGCACUGGAUGAUAGUGCCUGCCCAUCUGGGCUCAUAUGGUGGUUGUUUUGUUGGCGAGUUCUGAUGUCACUACUUCGGUAGAGUCGUUAGACUCUGUUGGCAUUAUGGCUGUCCUCUAUGAUUGGCACUGUUAAGUCUGUGGUUGUGAAGUAGGUAGUCCACCUGACCCGUCUUGAAACACGGACCAAGGAGUCUAACAUGUGCGCGAGUCAUUGGGUUCACGAAACCUAAAGGCGCAGUGAAGGUAAAGAUCUGUUUUGGCAGAUUGAGGUGGGAUGCCGGGUUACGCGCCCGGCCGCACUACCGGCCCGUUCUAUAUGUCUUUCAUAGGAGCGGAGCAAGAGCGUACACGUUGGGACCCGAAAGAUGGUGAACUAUGCUUGCGCAGGUCG
This 936-nucleotide ribosomal RNA is filed under the name Thysanozoon brocchii. RNAcentral's name for it is "partial large subunit ribosomal RNA". It matches the Rfam family "Eukaryotic large subunit ribosomal RNA", at positions 104 to 848 of the family's 3401-position model. The record is from RNAcentral. Lineage: Eukaryota; Metazoa; Platyhelminthes; Polycladida; Pseudocerotidae.